RNAcentral lists this ribosomal RNA (417 nucleotides) under uncultured bacterium. RNAcentral describes it as "bacterial SSU rRNA". It matches the Rfam family "Bacterial small subunit ribosomal RNA", at positions 355 to 786 of the family's 1533-position model. The record is from RNAcentral.
CAAGGAAUUUUCGGCAAUGGAGGAAACUCUGACCGAGCAACGCCGCGUGGGUGAGGAAGUCUUUAGGGAUGUAAAACCCUUUUCUCUUUGAAGAAGGAAAGACGGUAGAAGAGGAAUAAGCACCGGCAAACUACGUGCCAGCAGCCGCGGUAAUACGUAGGGUGCGAGCGUUGUCCGGAAUUAUUGGGCGUAAAGGGCUCGUAGGCGGUUUGUCGCGUCGGGAGUGAAAACACUGGGCUUAACCGAGUGCUUGCUUUCGAUACGGGCAGACUUGAGGCAUUCAGGGGUAGAACGGAAUUCCUAGUGUAGCGGUGAAAUGCGCAGAUAUUAGGAGGAACACCGGUGGCGAAGGCGGUUCUCUGGGAAUGUUCUGACGCUGAGGAGCGAAAGUGUGGGGAGCGAACAGGAUUAGAUACC